RNAcentral lists this ribosomal RNA (264 nucleotides) under uncultured archaeon. Its description in RNAcentral is "partial 16S ribosomal RNA". It matches the Rfam family "Archaeal small subunit ribosomal RNA", at positions 717 to 982 of the family's 1478-position model. The record is from RNAcentral.
ACACGACUACAUUAGAUACCCCUGUAGUCCUGGCCGUAAACGAUGUGGACUUGGUGUUGGAAUGGCUCCGAGCUGCUCCAGUGCCGAAGGGAAGCUGUUAAGUCCAACCGCCUGGGAAGUACGGUCGCAAGACUGAAACUUAAAGGAAUAGGCGGGGAGCACCACAACGCGUGGAGCCUGCGGUUUAAUUGGAUUCAGCGCCGGACAUCUCACCAGGGCGACAGCAGAAUGAUGGCCAGGUUGAUGACCUUGCUUGACAAGCUG